Molecule: unclassified non-coding RNA, 458 nt
Filed under: uncultured fungus
Lineage: Eukaryota; Fungi
Description: partial contains small subunit ribosomal RNA, internal transcribed spacer 1, and 5.8S ribosomal RNA
Rfam family: Eukaryotic small subunit ribosomal RNA (bases 1-73)
Source: RNAcentral
GCAAACUUGGUCAUUUAGAGGAAGUAAAAGUCGUAACAAGGUCAUCGUAGGUGAACCUGCGGUGGGAUCAUCAACAGUUCCAACACCUUACAAGCAGCUGCAGCCCCAGCCCGGUCUUCCUCCCCCAGGGAGGGGACAGGUGUCUGGCGGCAGCGUUGCACCCUUCAUGUGAACCUUUUCUGCUGUUUUGUCUAUGUGGCCGAACCCACUUUUUCUUAUUCUCUGCAGUCUGCUGCUGGGGGAUAAGAAGGGGGAGGGAAUGGCAACAUUAGCGAGACAACAACCCUCUAUGCGCUUCCCUUUGCGCCUCUGUGCACGAGGGGAAUGCGUUGUUAAAAAACACCAAAAAGUAACUAAAUGUGAACAAGUAAUAUACCAACAUAGUUGGAAAAGCAUACAAUGCAAAUACAACUAUCAACGGUGGAUCACUUGGCUCUUGCAUCGAUGAAGAACGCAGC